GAUGAACGCUGGCGGCGUGCCUAAUACAUGCAAGUCGAGCGAAAAGACGAGGAGCUUGCUGGGCGGACGUUAGGGGCAGGCGGGAGAGAAACGCGUGGAUAACCUCCCUAUAAGACGGGGAAAACUUCGGGAAACCGGAGCUAAUACCGGAGAAUAUAUUGAACCGCAGGGGGGAAUAGUGAAAGACGGCUUUGCUGGCACGUAUAGAUGGAUCUGCGCCGCAUUAGCUAGUUGGUAAGGUAACGGCUUACCAAGGCAACGAUGCGUAGCCGACCUGAGAGGGGGGUCGCCGACAUGGGAACGUGGACACGGUCCAUGGUCCUGCGGGAGGCAGCAGUCGGGUAUCUGCCGCAGUGGGCGAAAGCCUGACGGAGCAGCGCCGCGUGACUUGUGGAGGUCUUCGGUUCGUAAAGCUCUGUUAUGAGGUAAGAACAACUUUGGAAGUAACCAUGCACGGCUUGACGGUACCGAAUCAGAAAGCCCCGGCUAACUACGUG
Molecule: ribosomal RNA, 497 nt
Filed under: uncultured bacterium
Lineage: Bacteria
Description: partial 16S ribosomal RNA
Rfam family: Bacterial small subunit ribosomal RNA
Source: RNAcentral